AGUACCCCGAGGAAAAGAAAUCAACCGAGAUUCCCCCAGUAGCGGCGAGCGAACGGGGAGGAGCCCAGAGCCUGAAUCAGUGUGUGUGUUAGUGGAAGCGUCUGGAAAGGCGCGCGAUACAGGGUGACAGCCCCGUACACAAAAAUGCACAUGCUGUGAGCUCGAUGAGUAGGGCGGGACACGUGGUAUCCUGUCUGAAUAUGGGGGGACCAUCCUCCAAGGCUAAAUACUCCUGACUGACCGAUAGUGAACCAGUACCGUGAGGGAAAGGCGAAAAGAACCCCGGCGAGGGGAGUGAAAAAGAACCUGAAACCGUGUACGUACAAGCAGUGGGAGCCUCUUUAUGGGGUGACUGCGUACCUUUUGUAUAAUGGGUCAGCGACUUAUAUUCUGUAGCAAGGUUAACCGAAUAGGGGAGCCGAAGGGAAACCGAGUCUUAACUGGGCGUUAAGUUGCAGGGUAUAGACCCGAAACCCGGUGAUCUAGCCAUGGGCAGGUUGAAGGUUGGGUAACACUAACUGGAGGACCGAACCGACUAAUGUUGAAAAAUUAGCGGAUGACUUGUGGCUGGGGGUGAAAGGCCAAUCAAACCGGGAGAUAGCUGGUUCUCCCCGAAAGCUAUUUAGGUAGCGCCUCGUGAAUUCAUCUCCGGGGGUAGAGCACUGUUUCGGCAAGGGGGUCAUCCCGACUUACCAACCCGAUGCAAACUGCGAAUACCGGAGAAUGUUAUCACGGGAGACACACGGCGGGUGCUAACGUCCGUCGUGAAGAGGGAAACAACCCAGACCGCCAGCUAAGGUCCCAAAGUCAUGGUUAAGUGGGAAACGAUGUGGGAAGGCCCAGACAGCCAGGAUGUUGGCUUAGAAGCAGCCAUCAUUUAAAGAAAGCGUAAUAGCUCACUGGUCGAGUCGGCCUGCGCGGAAGAUGUAACGGGGCUAAACCAUG
This 945-nucleotide ribosomal RNA is filed under the name Escherichia coli. RNAcentral's name for it is "partial 23S ribosomal RNA". It matches the Rfam family "Bacterial large subunit ribosomal RNA", at positions 205 to 1191 of the family's 2925-position model. Lineage: Bacteria; Pseudomonadati; Pseudomonadota; Gammaproteobacteria; Enterobacterales; Enterobacteriaceae. The record is from RNAcentral.